CAGUGGCGAACGGGUGAGUAACACGUGGGCAAUCUGCCCUGCACUCUGGGACAAGCCUUGGAAACGAGGUCUAAUACCGGAUAUUACCCUUGACCGCAUGGUCUUGGGUGGAAAGCUCCGGCGGUGCAGGAUGAGCCCGCGGCCUAUCAGCUUGUUGGUGGGGUGAUGGCCUACCAAGGCGACGACGGGUAGCCGGCCUGAGAGGGCGACCGGCCACACUGGGACUGAGACACGGCCCAGACUCCUACGGGAGGCAGCAGUGGGGAAUAUUGCACAAUGGGCGAAAGCCUGAUGCAGCGACGCCGCGUGAGGGAUGAAGGCCUUCGGGUUGUAAACCUCUUUCAGCAGGGAAGAAGCGCAAGUGACGGUACCUGCAGAAGAAGCACCGGCUAACUACGUGCCAGCAGCCGCGGUAAUACGUAGGGUGCGAGCGUUGUCCGGAAUUAUUGGGCGUAAAGAGCUCGUAGGCGGCUUGUCACGUCGGAUGUGAAAGCCCGGGGCUUAACCCCGGGUCUGCAUUCGAUACGGGCAGGCUAGAGUGUGGUAGGGGAGAUCGGAAUUCCU
Molecule: ribosomal RNA, 564 nt
Filed under: Streptomyces sp. 384B05
Lineage: Bacteria; Bacillati; Actinomycetota; Actinomycetes; Kitasatosporales; Streptomycetaceae
Description: bacterial SSU rRNA
Rfam family: Bacterial small subunit ribosomal RNA
Source: RNAcentral